ACCAAAAGCAAGGCGAUAAGAACCAGAAAGUCGCUGGAGCUGUUCAUCUCAUCACCCAUCACAUCCCCUUCAUCGACCCUGACCAUGUCUCUCUCUCUCUCUCUCUCUCCAGAUUCCCUAUAGUAUGUGGUGGCCGUCGGCACUGUUCGAUAUGAGUACAAAACCUGCCUCACAUUCCAGUUUUCCACCGCAUGUUAGAGGGAGAGAGAAAACCCCUAUAUAUCAUCGACCAAGUACACCAAGUACACUAAUACCUUAAUCAUACCACUCAGAAAGUAAGAGUUUUGGUAUCAGUGAUGCUUUGUUUCAUGUUCUGGCUUUGUGGGGUUAUUUCUGUCUUUACUGACCCAAACCCUAGAUGUUCUUUCAGGGUACCUUUCCUUAAAUGGGUAUUUUGCUUCGUCUUCUCAGAUCUGACUUUGAAAUCUUCUCCCCUUUCUUUUUUCUUUUAUCUCAUGCAUUGGUUAAUUACCCUAUUUGGGAAAGUUGUAAACUUGUGGGGAGAGAAAUAGAGCUGACAGAAGAGAGUGAGCACACAAAGGCUAAUUGUACCGAAGUUACUUGUAUGAUUGUUUUGGGUGCUCACUGCUCUAUCUGUCACCUUCAUUCUUUUGCUUCUCCCUCCUUUCCUUUCCCUUAGGCUGAUACUUUUGUAUCUUGGAUUUGUAUGAUCUGAUUUUUUAUCAAAACUAAACAUUCUUUUUGUGUCUAUACAUGUCUGUAUGUCAAUUCCCUUGGAUUCUUUUGGAAAAAAUAAAGGAUGUGGGUUGUUGAAGAAGCACACCUCACACCUGAAAUAGUCUUGUUAGUGUGUUUGUUUUGGAUUCCAACAAAUAAUAUAAAAUUCUUGUAUUUGAAUAUAAUAUUACUGAUGACUAGUUAAGUAGGGUUUAGUUUGAUGAAAGCGUGACUUUUCAUGGUUUACUGUGCUAAAUCAACUGAAAACUGACGUUAUUAUGCAACUAUCGCCUUAACAAUACGUUAUUUAGAAUGGUCCUCCACCUCUCUUUCUUUUUCCUUUUUAAUUUUUCCUCGCGCAUGCGAUAACUCCCCCCAGAAAUUUUGGGUGUUUGACUGGAUUUUCUGUUCUUGAUUCAGAUCUAUUCCCACACUACUUAAGGUACUAGCUGUUUGACAAAUCUUUCGAUAAUUCUUUUUUGUUUUGGAAACUUCAAGAAGUCGGUUUCUUUUUGUUUAUAGUUUGGGUUUUGUUGGAGAAUCCCCCUCUACUUCUUCCAUUUUCUGUCUUUUUGCAGAUGUAUUAUGUGAACUUCGAAACUAAGUCAAGAUCAUAGAGAAUGCUGAUAUUGAUCCAGAGAAAGUACCAAAAGCAAGAAUAUCACAUUUUCUGCUCCAAUAAGUAUCAUUCGGUCCAGAUGUUGUGGUGCUCCUUGCCAACAUUCAGGGAGAUCCUAUUCCUAAUGACAACUGGCUGAUAAGUAUCCAGCUACUUCUACAUGUAUAAUGGUCAGUUAUAUCUGCUUCUUGAAAUGAUCAGGAUUUGUUGGCAAUGACAAGCAGGUAGGGUGUUAAAUUGGUAUGUUUGGUGUAGCAAUCUUGUAGAUGAUAGUUUUAUGGCUUUGUACUCCUAGCACCUUGCUAGCUCUUUGGCUUAUUUAUUGAAAUAUCCUAUUGCCAUUAAAAAAAGUACUUGUUACUGUUUGUGGGACACAUAGCCCGUGUAAAUGAUAUUGAUUUUUUUUAAACAGCAAGAAUUGGAUUAAAACUAGCAAGAAGCUAGGAAA
Long non-coding RNA from Lactuca sativa (garden lettuce), 1745 nucleotides. RefSeq lists it as uncharacterized. The record is from RefSeq and is a predicted model, not a curated record. NCBI's taxonomy places the organism in Eukaryota, Viridiplantae, Streptophyta, Magnoliopsida, Asterales, Asteraceae.